CUACCAGCAGAAGGUGGGCAGGUGGGGGCUGAUGAGGGGAGAGCUUCCCACCCCCACCUUCAGCCAGCCAGCAGCUGGGCUGCUAUGGAGCACUCAUCCUGUGGCACUUUGUGCAGCCUGGAGAGGAGAUGGGGUUAGGAGAAUGUGUGCUGUACUGCCUUGGUCCAUAGAGGCUUCUGGAGAGUUCAGCAGAGCACAGCAUGAGUGGGAAAAUGUGACUCACAUCACAGAGAUGGUGAAGCAACAGAAUUCCUGAGAGGAGCACUGCAAACUGGAUAGACUUUGUUGUGAUGGCUGUGAGGAGCUUGCUGGUGGAUCGCCUCAUUGUAAAGAUUUGGAGUCUUCAAGAAUGCUUUUUCUUCAGUAAUUAUCCCAUAGAGAACUUCACUGCCAAGUAGAAGAGGCCCUUUCUCUCAGAAGAUGGGAUGAAUGUAUUUCUGCACUCAGCCACUCUGAAAACCCAUUUCCAAGGGAUGCGUCCUCUCUGAACUUGGCAGGAAUGCGCUUGACAUUAAUUGUAGGACCAGGCAGCACCGCUUCUGACCGCUCGUGAGGGAACAGCUGAGAAAUUUCAUUCUCAACACUGGUGCCUUUGGCUCUGGUUGGAAUGGCACAUUACUCACAAGACGCAGUGACACAUACAACGUGGAGAGUUAUGUCCUUCCUGUGGAUCAUUUACACACGCUUACGUUUAUACAUUUUUACUUUCCAGUGGUGUUAAUAUGGCACCCCCUGGAGGAAGUAUGUUUGAAAACACUUGAAGGAAGAAAAUAUUAAUUAAAAUCCCCUUUGAAACCAAUGCUUUAAACAGACUGUAAAUUUUCCCAGUUAUCUAUGGAGAGGGGCCUUUGCAGAAACAUUCGUGUCAUUUUUAUCUGUAGGCAGUCUUUCAUCCUGAGAUGACACAUGCAAUUUUUUUCCUCCUUAGACUAAACGUGUCAGUCUAAGACUCUUACUGUGUAAGUGCUGGAGAAUUAAGCAGUCAAAAAGGAAACCCAGAAUGGCAUCCAUAAAUGGCAACUGCCAAAGAGUCAGCUUGAGCCUGCCACAGUCGCUUUCUGUGUUGGACAGAAAUGACCACAUCCUGCUCAUUUUAGAAUUAGACUUAGAUGUUCAGGAAUUAAAAAAUGCCAAAGGUGACUGUUUUAUUUGUUUUGCCCCUCCAGUCUUUAUUUAAAAAAAAAAGCAAAACAAAAAUAUGUAUUUACACGGUUUUAAAUGCAAAUAGGAUUUAAACAAAACAAUUGGGUGUUAGUGAUUUCUAAAAGCAAAAAAAUAAACAAGGUUAAUUAUUAUUAUUUCGCUGACUUCAAUAAAUACCUGAUUACGUUUACAAACAACUUCAAAAGGAAGCUGUGAAUGCCAUAUAUGAGUGCAGCAUCCAGUCAAGCUAAGCUGUGAAGUGUGAACAACAAUUGCAUUAUUUCAGUCUGUUUGCCAGCUGGGCAUACAACAGUCUCCUUGGUGCUCCUUCUGCCCCAGUAACAAAGCUCAGUCAGGGUUCCUUCUGGGAGGAACUUCUUCCAGGAAAACGUGGUGCUUCAAUUGCUCCUGCGUGCGUGAUUUUGGUGUGUGGUUUUACUUUGUUUCCCUGGAAAGUCUUUUGCAUUUCCUAGGGAGUCUGCUGUCUGCGCGAUCCAGAGCCUGAAAAUUAAUUCCACGUAGAACGAUUUGGAUUGUAGA
This is a long non-coding RNA of Lagopus muta (rock ptarmigan), 1683 nucleotides long. RefSeq lists it as uncharacterized. The transcript is spliced from 4 exons. The record is from RefSeq and is a predicted model, not a curated record. NCBI's taxonomy places the organism in Eukaryota, Metazoa, Chordata, Aves, Galliformes, Phasianidae.